Molecule: ribosomal RNA, 1977 nt
Filed under: Salmonella enterica subsp. enterica serovar Molade
Lineage: Bacteria; Pseudomonadati; Pseudomonadota; Gammaproteobacteria; Enterobacterales; Enterobacteriaceae
Description: partial 23S ribosomal RNA
Rfam family: Bacterial large subunit ribosomal RNA
Source: RNAcentral
GAAGCGUCUGGAAAGGCGCGCGAUACAGGGUGACAGCCCCGUACACAAAAGCGCAUGUGCUGUGAGCUCGAUGAGUAGGGCGGGACACGUGGUAUCCUGUCUGAAUAUGGGGGGACCAUCCUCCAAGGCUAAAUACUCCUGACUGACCGAUAGUGAACCAGUACCGUGAGGGAAAGGCGAAAAGAACCCCGGCGAGGGGAGUGAAAAAGAACCUGAAACCGUGUACGUACAAGCAGUGGGAGCACAGGUUUACCUGUGUGACUGCGUACCUUUUGUAUAAUGGGUCAGCGACUUAUAUUCUGUAGCAAGGUUAACCGAAUAGGGGAGCCGGAGGGAAACCGAGUCUUAAUUGGGCGUUAAGUUGCAGGGUAUAGACCCGAAACCCGGUGAUCUAGCCAUGGGCAGGUUGAAGGUUGGGUAACACUAACUGGAGGACCGAACCGACUAAUGUUGAAAAAUUAGCGGAUGACCUGUGGCUGGGGGUGAAAGGCCAAUCAAACCGGGAGAUAGCUGGUUCUCCCCGAAAGCUAUUUAGGUAGCGCCUCGUGAAUUCAUCUCCGGGGGUAGAGCACUGUUUCGGCUAGGGGGCCAUCCCGGCUUACCAACCCGAUGCAAACUGCGAAUACCGGAGAAUGUUAUCACGGGAGACACACGGCGGGUGCUAACGUCCGUCGUGAAGAGGGAAACAACCCAGACCGCCAGCUAAGGUCCCAAAGUCAUGGUUAAGUGGGAAACGAUGUGGGAAGGCCCAGACAGCCAGGAUGUUGGCUUAGAAGCAGCCAUCAUUUAAAGAAAGCGUAAUAGCUCACUGGUCGAGUCGGCCUGCGCGGAAGAUGUAACGGGGCUAAACCAUGCACCGAAGCUGCGGCAGCGAACGUAUCACUUAAAGCGAUUCAGCGGGUUACGAUUGACGGAGCGAAGCGACGUCAAAGCGUAUACAAAGUCGAGUCGGUUUAAGGAUACGUUCGUUGGGUAGGGGAGCGUUCUGUAAGCCUGUGAAGGUGUGUCGUGAGGCAUGCUGGAGGUAUCAGAAGUGCGAAUGCUGACAUAAGUAACGAUAAAGCGGGUGAAAAGCCCGCUCGCCGGAAGACCAAGGGUUCCUGUCCAACGUUAAUCGGGGCAGGGUGAGUCGACCCCUAAGGCGAGGCCGAAAGGCGUAGUCGAUGGGAAACGGGUUAAUAUUCCCGUACUUGGUGUUACUGCGAAGGGGGGACGGAGAAGGCUAUGUUGGCCGGGCGACGGUUGUCCCGGUUUAAGCGUGUAGGUGUGUGUUCCAGGUAAAUCCGGUUCACUUUAACACUGAGGCGUGACGACGAGGCACUACGGUGCUGAAGCAACAAAUGCCCUGCUUCCAGGAAAAGCCUCUAAGCAUCAGGUAACAUCAAAUCGUACCCCAAACCGACACAGGUGGUCAGGUAGAGAAUACCAAGGCGCUUGAGAGAACUCGGGUGAAGGAACUAGGCAAAAUGGUGCCGUAACUUCGGGAGAAGGCACGCUGACACGUAGGUGAAGUGAUUUACUCAUGGAGCUGAAGUCAGUCGAAGAUACCAGCUGGCUGCAACUGUUUAUUAAAAACACAGCACUGUGCAAACACGAAAGUGGACGUAUACGGUGUGACGCCUGCCCGGUGCCGGAAGGUUAAUUGAUGGGGUCAGCGCAAGCGAAGCUCCUGAUCGAAGCCCCGGUAAACGGCGGCCGUAACUAUAACGGUCCUAAGGUAGCGAAAUUCCUUGUCGGGUAAGUUCCGACCUGCACGAAUGGCGUAAUGAUGGCCAGGCUGUCUCCACCCGAGACUCAGUGAAAUUGAACUCGCUGUGAAGAUGCAGUGUACCCGCGGCAAGACGGAAAGACCCCGUGAACCUUUACUAUAGCUUGACACUGAACAUUGAGCCUUGAUGUGUAGGAUAGGUGGGAGGCUUUGAAGUGUGGACGCCAGUCUGCAUGGAGCCGACCUUGAAAUACCACCCUUUAAUGUUU